Molecule: ribosomal RNA, 425 nt
Filed under: uncultured bacterium
Lineage: Bacteria
Description: bacterial SSU rRNA
Rfam family: Bacterial small subunit ribosomal RNA
Source: RNAcentral
UGGGGAAUAUUGGACAAUGGGCGCAAGCCUGAUCCAGCAAUGCCGCGUGUGUGAAGAAGGCCUUCGGGUUGUAAAGCACUUUUAUCAGGAGCGAAAUCUGCAUGCUUAAUACGUGUGCAGUCUGACGGUACCUGAGGAAUAAGCACCGGCUAACUUCGUGCCAGCAGCCGCGGUAAUACGAGUGGUGCGAGCGUUAAUCGGAAUUACUGGGCUUAAAGGGUGCGCAGGCGGGUCCGCAAGCAUUCUGUGAAAUCCCCCGGCUCAACCGGGGAACUGCAGGGUGGACUGCGGGUCUUGAGAAAGGUAGGGGCCGACGGAACGAUCGGUGGAGCGGUGAAAUGCGUAGAUAUCGAUCGGAACGCCAAUGGUGAAGACAGUCGGCUGGGCCUUUUCUGACGCUCAUGCACGAAAGCGUGGGGAGCAAA